GUCAGUGAAUCUUGAAAUUGAAGAACAAAUAAUUUGGAAAUAAAAGAAUUGCUUGAUGAAUAAGUAUUGUGAGUGGAUUUACGGAAUUGAUCAAAGAGAUGGAUCCAUGGCGCGCCAGUUGAGAACCACGUGAACGCAAGCGUCGCGGGUAUUGAGGUUUUAGGAAUUCAAAGUUGUCUGAAAACGCGAUGGCAUGAAAAUCUGAUUUGGUCCAAUUGUGAGUUGAACUUCAGUGGCCUCAUUUUCUAAAGAGAAGACGCAUCUCAUCUCGGUUAGAUUUAGUUCGUUCGCGCGAAAUCUUUGUCUGUAAUGCCCGAUUGCUUACACGCAUGCUGCAACGCCAGUAGCGACGUUUAUUUUUAAUUUUUAAGUCUGCACCUUCAACAUUCGCUAAAUUGCUUUUGGCAACGUUUAGACAAUUUGUUUGACUGUCGCAUUCCUGCUACGCUCAUUCGUGAAUUUUUCAAUUAUGAAACAUUAAUAUACUCCGAUCUUCAAGUAAAUUAAGAAACUAUAUAACACUGUUAUGUAUGUUAUCUUAAAACUAUAUAAUACCGUUGAA
Long non-coding RNA from Frieseomelitta varia, 562 nucleotides. RefSeq lists it as uncharacterized. NCBI's taxonomy places the organism in Eukaryota, Metazoa, Arthropoda, Insecta, Hymenoptera, Apidae. The record is from RefSeq and is a predicted model, not a curated record. The transcript is spliced from 3 exons.